GUCAGUAUGGCGGAGGCAAACGCAGAAGAGCUAAGAUCUUUUUACGGUAGUGGUAUACCUAUUGAUA
This 67-nucleotide transfer RNA is filed under the name Halocynthia aurantium. RNAcentral's name for it is "tRNA-Leu". Lineage: Eukaryota; Metazoa; Chordata; Ascidiacea; Stolidobranchia; Pyuridae. The record is from RNAcentral.